AGUAACUCAACCGGCCCUAGACGUGUCUGCAGGCAGUUCUCACCAUCGGCAUACGAAGGAUAGUUGAAAUGGUCUCUUAUCGUGUUCGUUAUCGGGUUUCGUCAUAAUCUACAGAAAAAUAUUCAAACCAAUACCAACAGAAUAGAGCUUGAACUAUAGUGAUUGCAGUGCAGCAAGACAGCUAGCUACACAGAGUAUAUUGAUGCUUCGUUCUUCGCAGUGAACAUGGAUUGCUGUCACAAUAGGUACGUUUCGAUGGCAUUAUCUUUAUGGAAUCGGUGGAUAACAAAUACGAACGUAUAGGUCUAGUUGCAUGAUGUGAUAUCUUCGAGAAUUACUUAUUUCAAGGUCCUGAACUCCUGAAGUAUAUAUAUUUUUCCAAAUCUGCCUACGAUGAAUUUUUUUGGAGCAUUCGAAGCAGCAUGUACUUACAUACAUACGUUGAGAACUCGACCAGCUGAAUUUGGAAUGAUCUCGUGAAUUCGGUGAGAACAGUAUCCUUCCAAAAAUGAUGGGAUAUGAACUCGCGUAUGAGAAUAUUUCAAAGUUCCAACUGCCACAUCCAAAGUUGCAUCGUCUGCCCAUAAGAAUUGUUUUUAACUUACGUAUUGUUCGUGGUCGUGUUCGCGUAGUAGUGUUCGGUUCUUCGAGUGUAUUGGACGAAUCGUAUUAAAAGUCUUUGACGAUUUUGUAGAUAUACCCUUUGUUCGUGUCAAGUUUCGAGCUCGGUUUAUUCAUCUUGUACAAUAUAGUAUCGAUUCGCAAUUGGUUUUCAUGUUCGAUUAUUCGUCGUUGUCGUAUCUGUCGGAGUCGCGAAAUUUCGUCUCUUUUAUUGGAUCCGAAUGCUGUUCUGUUCAACCGAGAUCCAGUUCCUGCUGUAUCUACUCAAUGCAUCUCUGUGAAACAAGGUAAUAAAUUUUCUAACUGAUUUAUUCUGGUGAAUGGGUAGAUUUAUUUAUAUGUAGCUUACCUAUAACAUAAACGUUGGAGAAGCAUCAGCUUUUUAAAAACAUAAUUAUAAUAAUUUAAACCAGGUUAUUCUAAACAAUCAUACACAUACACACAAGUUUAAUAAUCGCAAAUAAUGAAAUUCAAUUGUUCCGAAAUGUUUCGAUUGAGGACUCGAAGUCCACAAAAUCAAUCUCUUCAACCUUUUUUCGACUUCGUUCUUCGAGUGAGAAUUAAAAUCGGAUUCUGAGCUCCUCUAUUCGAUGUUUGGGAUAUUUUCAUGUACAAUAUUGGCCAAUUGCACUAGUCGCUGAUGUCUCGUAUACUCAUGCGAACCAUAUUGAUAAAGUUUUGACCACAGGACACAAAAAAAAACUUUAAAACUCGACACCAUCUGUCCGAAUGUCUCCUACAAAUUUCGAUGUCUAAACAUUGUGGCGCCAAUAAGGUUUCCUUUGGUGCCAUAGUGUAUUUUCAGAAAGUACCUAUAUAGAGUGGUGCCUUAAGGGGGUGUCCGGGGAAAGGUGAUACAAACUUCAAAUUUUGAUAUAACCGGGUACGAGUAAAAAAACAUAAAAGAUAAACGAGUUGCUUAUUAUAUUUUGAAAAUUGAUGGGGCCCCGUCAAUUUUCAAAAUAUAGGCAAGUUGUUUAUCUUACUUUGUACCACUACUCCUCGGACACCCUGUAUAACAAUGGAUUAUUGGCUCUUCACUCUGAAAUUCGAUGUUUAUAUCAGUAACAGUAGGUAAAAUAGCAUUUUAAAAACGUAAUACAACAUGUUUCGAACCGUGGUGGUAAUUUCUCUUUGUGAAUCUUAAGCUUCCGGUGUUUGUUCAGUAUGGACUUGCGAUGAAAAGCAAGUAGAUAAUUGCUUGAAUUUGUACCGAAAAAAAGUGCUAUAUUUACUAGACUACAACCAAGGCGUGUUUGACGUACUUAAUAAUUUAUGGCGUGGUAACUCCUAAUGAGAUUUGUGUUCCUUGCAAGGCAUAUAAUCGUUUAGAGAUGUAUUUUAUGUAGAGAUAAACGCCUUUUAUCAAGUUUUCAACGUCAUCUGGAAGAAAAAUACUGUUGCAUGUGAAGCGCAGAGAGUUAACGAAUGACAGAUGUAUUUGUAAUACAAGCAGGCGAGGUAUUUCAUUGCGAAAUAUUGUCACAACUCACAACGCUAAUAUUACAUCCCAUCAACACGUUUGCCUCGUCGCUGGUACAUGCAAUCAUAUUCUCUUUAUACGGUAUUUUCACUCCCCCCUCUCUCUCUAGAAUUGCCAGAUCCUUGUAACAGAAGUUACCGUUUCUUCAGCAAUACUUUUACUCGUAAAUCGCUGUGAAAGUUGUUAAAAAUGCAAAAUAUUGACCUUUUUUGGUGAUACGAUACGUUUCUUUUGUAAAAUUCCAAAUUUUCUCAAGAAAAUCUAAAGAUUGAUUUGGGCAGCUAAAAAUUGAGUUUUAGCUUACUCUGCCUUCUUCCAUACUCUCGAUCUGAUCAAAAGCUUUAUUUACGUAUGAGCCCACUUUCAGGCAGAGACCUCGAGGGCGUUUUUUGACCUCCAUAUUUUUAAUGAUCACUCACUGGAGAAUGUUAGUCGAAGAAACACCACCUUUGAAGUGUUUGCUCGGAAAAUGACCGAAAUUUUUAGCUGCACAGUUUGAUUUCCGCACCAUCUAGAGACAUCUGAAAUCGGGCAGGAGGUUUCAGAAUACCUAUUCAGAAUGGUAGAUCUCGGAUUCGGGAGGUUGGUUGUUGACUAAAUACAGCCAUUUGUGCCAAUUUUAAGAAUUACUUACUUAUACUCUACGUUUUGAGUUUUGCUCUAUGUGUAACAAUAUCACCUUUGAAGUGUUUGCUCGGAAAAUGACCGAAAUUUUUAGCUGCACAGUUUGAUUUCCACACCAUCUACUGACAUAUGAAAUCGAGCAGGAGGUUUCAGAAUACCUAUUCAGAAUGGUAGAUCUCGGAUUCGGGAGGUUGGUUGUUGACUAAAUACAGCCAUUUGUGCCAAUUUUAAGAAUUACUUACUUAUACUCUACGUUUUGAGUUUUGCUUUGUGUAAACGAAACUACUGUUCCUAAAUGUAGAUAUUUAAUAAAUUCAAAAGCGUAUUUACAUUAGACUUCAAAUAUAAUUACUCAGAAACAUGAUGAGAUUAAAACUAACUCAGUGUUGCUCGCAGCUGCACACUAAAAGUCGUGAAUACAACAUCUAUUUUUGUGAAAUGUGCGCGAUAAUGAAAGUAUAUGUAUGUGUUUAAUUGUGGAAUUUCCUUAGGCCAAGAUCACAAAUUUAUUCAAAUUGAUACAACUAUAUAAAAUUAUAUAUCCAGUUGUUGAGGAAUUAAUUCUAUCAGUUUUGAUCGGGUCGAAAUUUUGAUCAAAUCUGAUAGAAUUUGAAAACCUGAUAAUAUAUUUUAUCAAAUUUAGUAUUACUCGUAUAACUAUAACAAACUUCAUGUUUUUAAUUGAAAACUUACUUUGAAAAAUUGCCUCUUAUUUAAUCUACUUCUGGUAAGUGCAUUCCUUCGAUUUGAAGUUCACGAUUAUGAUAACGGUUAUUUCACCGAGUCGCCGAGUCAUACUUUUUUCAAAGUCUGUACGGAAACCGUUGCUCAUUUCUUUGCUUUUGCACGGUCUUCUGCGUACUGCAAGAUGCAUGGUUACUUUUCAAGCGAAAAAAGGCACUAAUUUUUCCCCCUUGAAGUAAUCGAUUUGAUGCUUCUAAAAAAAACAAAAUUUCAUGUUAUUAUUGUACUAUCAGUAAAGAAUUGUCAACAAUUCAUUUGCAAGUAUUUCAAUACACAGUUCAAUUCAGAACAACUAAAUACAUAUAAUACAGACUUAUAUUGUUUCUAUCUGGAACUUGCUUUUUUUUGGAAGCACUACAAUUUUUUUCUUUUUCAAUCCUCUGGUUCCUGGAAUCGAUCGAUGGCAUUUGCAAUAAGCCAUGUAAAAUAUAUUUUCGCUGAUGUCCACUCCUCGUUCUCUACAGCGAGCCACAGUUGAUCGAGAGAACAUCUUCGUUAUCGUACUUAUUUGUUCGGGCAAUUGCGGUAAGCCUCUCUGAUGCUUUCAAUCGAUUAGAAAAAGAUCAUUCGACGGGCUGUUCCAUCGUUAUCAAUGCCGCCUUUGCAGGUGCACACAUGAAUCAUAAAAGUCAUGUAAAACAUCGAUGGCAUCCUUUUCAUGUAGGUAAAUUGAAAACAUCAUAAUUGUGUAAAACGUGUUUUCUGGUGUUUUCACCCCUUCCCCCUCCCCAAAAAACACCAGUGUUCCAGGAUGCUGAAAGCUGCAUCACAGCAGGAGGGUGAUAAGAAAUCGUCAUAGUCGACACGUUUUCUUUACAGAAGAUGUUCUGCAUGUAAUCCAAUAUCAAUGGUGUCGCAAGGCUCUGCCAGACGAGGUGACUCAAAAGGUUUUUUCGCUGUGUUUGAAUCACCAAAGAGAAGCGGAAGAAUGAAGGGGAUUGCCAGAAAUACGAAGAUUGUAAAAGCACAGCAGUUCCACCUGCCACAUCCACAGUUGCAUCAUCCGCCCUUUAGAAUGAUUUUCAACUUACGUAUCGUUCGUGGUCGCGUUCGCGUAGUAGUGUUCGAUUCUUCGAGUGUGAUCUUGUAGUAUCGAUUCGCGAUUGCUUUUUAUGUUCGAUUGUUCGUCGUUGUCGUAUCUGUCGGAGUCACGAAUUUUCAUCUCUUUUAUUGGAUCGGAAUGCUGUUCAACCGAGAUCCAGUUGCUGUAUUCAAUUCAUCUCUGUAAAACAAGGUAAUAAAUUUCCAAACUGAUUUAUUCUGGUGAAUGGGUUGAUUAGUUACGUAUAUGUACCUUAUCUGUAAGAAGAAUGUUGAAAAAGCAUUUGCUUUUUUGAGAAAAAUAGAUAUUUUUUAAAAAAAUAGUAAUUGUAAAUCAGGUUAUUUUAAACAAUCCUAUAAGGUACGCACUCGAGUUUAAAAAACGCAAAUAAUGGAAUUCGAUAAUCCCAAAAAGUUUCGAUUGAGGACUCGGAAGUCCAGUCUAUAUAUUCACAUUUCAACAUAAUUAUACUAUGAUUUAUAUGUUUUUGAAAUUAAUGAUCGAAACCAUUUUUGCUUGCGAUCAUCUAACCGAUUUUUUUCGCAAACACUUAUUUCUUCGGACUCCUGCGUAAUGAAAGAAGAAGUCCUUGCAGGAAAAUGAAAAUGAAUGAUUGCAUGUGAUUACAAAUUCAUCUUACCGUGUCCGAAAAAUCAGGGAACUCGUAAUGCAACCAUCUGCUAGGCCAAGUGCACUAGCCGCUGACUUCUCGUACUCAACUCAUGCCAAUCAUAUUGAUAAUACACAACUCCACAUGUCCGAUUGUUUCCUACCAAUUUCGAUGUACUAAUACUAAACAUUCUGGCUCCAUGAGUUUUUUUUUUGUGCUAUAGCGUAUUUUUAGAAAGUAUAUAGUUUGAUGCCAUAAGGAACACAUGUAACUAUACUGGGCGUCCGUAUGUAUUUUCUUUUGCACUGAUAACAACUUUAUCAAUUUCGGUUUUCUUGGUAUUGGAUUUUGUGUGGAUAGCACCUUUGCAGACGAAGAGCUUUCACUUGUUAGCUAACCGUUCAUCAAUUGAACAUUUUCGUUUACAACGUGAUUUAGUAGGUGUAAAAUGCUCAGCAUUUUCAGGAGCUGGAAUUUUGAAAAAAAAAAAAAUAGAUGUAUUGAUCACAAAAUUCUCAUAACCAACACACAGAACAAUGAAAAAUAAAAUUGACUACAAACCUAUGACAUCGUACUCUCCUUCAAUCCACGGACCCUCGUCUAAAAUUAAAACAUUUUCAACCUCCCUGGUAAUAUUAUUUGUCUCGUUGAAAUCCAGUUUUAUAUUUUUAUCCGAACUAAAAGCACUUAAAGAGGUGAAAAAUAUUCAUCAAGUAAUGCCGUUUCUUCAGCUCAACUUGUAGAAAAGUGGAGUUAACGUUGAAUGGCUCGGGAGAUUUUUGGAGUUGAUGUUUUUUUUUGUUUUCCAUUUUAAGAGGUUUUAAUGUCGGAAUUUCUUACCUCAAGCUGAUCAAAUUCAUCCAAUGAAGUUGCAUAGUUGCUGUACAGAUCUUCAAGCUGAGUAGAUUUCAAUUUUCAUUCGCAGAGAUUGUUUUCGUUUUGCAAUUCAUUGCGCCUGGUUACGGAUGCGCAGUCAUCCACAAUGAAAUAAACACACUGCAGUCUAUGAAUUGCGUUAGUGGUGUUUGAAUCUCGUUUGAUUGUUUCUUCAUUUGCCAUCAACAACAGCUGUAUUUCCGUCUACUUGAUUUUUGCUGAAGCCUGACGGGUAUUUGGAGAAACCGAUCUGAAAGCAAAUGUUAGUAGAUUACCUUCAGGGUUAUAAUUGUUCGUCAUCUGCCAAUAAAGUUCGUAAGGGUUUCAUAUUUGUACAGGCAAGAAUUUUUACCAUUACAUCGAUGAUUGAGGAUUCUUGAAAAAAAAAUCGAAUUCUAUCAUUUCGUAA
Long non-coding RNA from Planococcus citri (citrus mealybug), 6409 nucleotides. RefSeq lists it as uncharacterized. The record is from RefSeq and is a predicted model, not a curated record. NCBI's taxonomy places the organism in Eukaryota, Metazoa, Arthropoda, Insecta, Hemiptera, Pseudococcidae. The transcript has 6 exons.